Molecule: ribosomal RNA, 487 nt
Filed under: uncultured Lachnospiraceae bacterium
Lineage: Bacteria; Bacillati; Bacillota; Clostridia; Lachnospirales; Lachnospiraceae
Description: partial 16S ribosomal RNA
Source: RNAcentral
CACGUAGUUAGCCGGGGCUUCUUAGUCAGGUACCGUCAUUUUCUUUCCUGCUGAUAGAGCUUUACGUACCGAAAUACUUCUUCACUCACGCGGCGUCGCUGGAUCAGGGUUUCCCCCAUUGUCCAAUAUUCCCCACUGCUGCCUCCCGUAGGAGUUUGGGCCGUGUCUCAGUCCCAAUGUGGCCGUCCACCUCUCAGGCCGGCUACUGAUCGUCGCCUUGGUCGGGCCGUUACCCCGCCAACCAGCUAAUCAGACGCGGGCCCAUCCCAUACCACCGGAGUUUUCACACACCUUCAUGCGAAGCUGUGCGCUUAUGCGGUUUUAGCUACCUGUUUCCAGGUGUUAUCCCCCGGUAUGGGGCAGGUUGCCCACGCGUUACUCACCCGUCCGCCACUAACUUACACUUCCGUAGUCAAUGCAAGCAUCUCCUGCUUCUGUGUAAGUCCGUUCGACUUGCAUGUGUUAGGCACGCCGCCAGCGUCAUCCG